UUUAGAAUUUGAUCAAGUUUGAACAUGAUUGUGAUUUGACUCUAGUUUUAUAUGCUAGAGAAUCAAAUAUUUUGGGAAUUGGGAUGUUCAUGAAAAUUGAAUUUGAGUUUAGUUUAACGACAUUUCGGUCGAUAUCGGAUUUAGGUUUAGUUUAACGACGUUUCGGUCGAUUGAUUUGGUGGAUUAGUUUAACGACGUUUCGGUCGAAGGUUUGGGUUUGGUUCACAAGGUUUAUGGUAUUGGGUAUAUGGGAUUAUGGUUCAUGAACUUAGAUAUGGUUCAUGGGUUUAUGGUUCAUGGACUUAUGGUUUAUGGGUUUGGUUCAUGGGCUUAUGGUUCAUGAACUUGUGGUAUGGUUCAUGGGUUUAUGAACUUGUGGUUCAUGGGCUUAUGGUUCAUGAACUUGAUUCAUAGUUUGUGGAUUUGGUGUAUGGUAUGGUCCACAGGAUUUGGUAUAUGGUUUGGUCCAUGGUUUUAGUUCAAAGUUCAUGGACUUGGUUAAGGUUAUGGGCUUGGAUAUGGGUUAAAUGUGUAUGGGUUUAUGGGUAAAUGUAUAUGGGUUUAUGUAUAUGGGUUUAUGGGUUAAUGGUUUUAAUGAGUUUUGGAUAAUGGGCUUAGAUAGUAGGCCUAAAUGGGUUUUGGACCGGGGCCAUUUGUAAAUGGGCUCUGGGCUUUGGACUAGGCCUAGAUUUAAUUGGAUUGGGUUAUAGUAUAUGGGUUUAGAAUUGGGCUAAGGUUUAAUUGGAUUGGGUUAUAGGUUUGGGUUUUGUAGAUUGGCUAUUGGGUUUGAUUUGAGCUGAAAUCGAGCCCGUAAAGCUAUAUGUAAAUAGGCUAUAUGAUAUGGAUUCUGGUGGGCUAAAUUCAGGCCCAUGAACCCGAUUUAUUUCAUUUUGGAUAUGGAUUCGGGCUCAAUACGGGCUCAUUUCAUUUUGUAUUCGGGCUCAAAAUGGGCCAAAUCAUUUUGAAGUGGAUAUGGAUUUAAUAUGGGAUUUAGAUUUGGGCUCAAUAUGGGCUCAAUUGGAUUUAAAAUGAGCUCAAUUUGUAUGUGAAUUUUAGGUUUAUUUGGGUUUAGGAUUUGGGAUUGGUUUGAUUAUGGAUUUGGGCCUUGGACUUUGGAUUGGGUUUUGAUAUGGGUUUGGGCCUUGGACUUGGGAUUGGGUUUUGAUAUGGGUUUGGGCCUUGGACUUUGGAUUGGGUUUUGAUAUGGGUUUGGGCCUUGGACUUUGGAUUGGGUUUUGAUAUGAGUUUGGGCCUUGGACUUUGGAUUGGGUUUUGAUAUGGGUUUUAGGAUUUGAAUUCGGAUUUGGUAUUGGAUUUGAUUUGGAUUUGGAUUCGAGUCGGGUUUGGAUUCGAAUUUGGAUUCGAAUUCGAAUUUGAUUCGUAUAAUUUUGUCGAGUUUGAAUUUGAGUCUAUAUGAAAUCAAAAUAUUUCGGUAUCUGAUUCAAAAUCAAGUUCAUCCAAGUUUGUCAAUUCCUCAAUCGUAUACGAUAUCCAACCAAUUUGAUCUAAUUCGAUCAAAUUGAACAGUUCCAUUAUUUUCGAACACUAUCAAAUCAAAAGAAUAUUAAUAAAAAAUCUAAUUAAUUUUCUUUUAUUUCUCCACUGAAAGAGAAUUAAGAGAAUAUUUUUUCUCUGUCUCUUAAAAAAUAAGAUGCAUCAUUCAUCAUCAUCAUUUUUUUACAUCUUGGGGACAACUAAGGUGGGAAGAUCCCUCCUUUGCCUCCCUCUUUUUUUUUACAAAGCUCCCUCUCUCUUUCAUAAUCAUGAUUAGAGAAGUACUAUCUUUCUCUCUCUCUCUCAAAUAUAUAUUUUUUGAAGAGCACCGCUCUUUCAUUUUUUAUAAAGAGAAGAGCACCGCUCUCUCUCUUUAUUCGCCGCCGAGCACUUGGCGGGCGGAUCUAACUUCAUUUGAGAGGAGAGCACCGCUCUCUCUCUCUCAGGUUCGCCGUCGAGCGGUUGGUGGGCGGACUCCGGGUACAUCGAGCACUUGGCGGGCGGAACCGGGCGGAACCCGUUUGAGAGGAGAGCACCGCUCUCUCUCUCAGGUUCGCCGUCGAGCAGCUGGCGGGCUUUGUUGAUGACGGAGCUCCGGUUUCAUUCAGGAAUUUCGUCGAACAGUUGGUAGGCAUGGUUCGUCGGUGCGAACUCCGUCAAAGCGACAUCCUGGACAUUUCAUCAAACAAGUGGUGGACGUGUCCCGUCGGCGUCCACUCUGCCAGAACCAUGUCCUAAUCAGCUUUGUAGGUGGCGAGGGUGUUCUCGGUGGCCUCCUUCUACUCGGCCCCGGUCUUGAACUCGACGUCGAUUCAAAUGGUAUCAUCUUCGUCAUGGAGGAUCAAGGAUCCGUUGGCGGUGCACGAGAUGCAGCGGUUGCUGGCGGAAAAGAAGAAUUGCUCACUGCGGACUUAAAUCGAACACCUGGUGUGCGGGGGAUGAAGCAGGAGAGGAGCAGGAUGAGGAAGGAGCAGGUGGCCUCGGCGGUACAGAGGUCAGCGAGGAACAGGCAGCCUCGGAACGGGCAGCCUCGGAGCGGGCGACCUCGGAGGGGGCGGCCUCGGAGCGACGACCUCAGCGGCGCAAGGGUCGGCAAGGAGGCGACGUCUUCAGCGGCGCAGGGGUUAGCGAGGAGGCGGCAGCCUCGGGUAGUUGAAGUUGGCGAGGAGCGACGCGGCCUCGGGCGCAGGGGUCGGCGAGGAGCGACGGCCUCGGGUAGUUGGGGUCGGCGAUGAAGCGAGCGGCUUCGGCGGCGGAUCGGCGAGGGAACAGCCGGAAGCAAGCGGCGACCUCGGUAGACGGAUCAGCGCGGAAGCGGGCGGCUUCAAGCAGAUCGGCCGCGGGUGGCGCGGCUUCGAGUCGAGGACGGCAGCGGUGGCGCUUCAAGCAGAUCGGCCGCGGGUGGCGCGGCUUCUAGUCGAGGACGGCGAGCUCGGUGGAGUCCGCGGCCAUGUGCGCAGAGAAGUCGAGGAGCGGCGGCGAUGGCGGCUCGUGGUGACGUCGGAGUCGAUGCCGUCGCGGAGAUCGCAAAUGAGUUUGGGGCGAAGUCCGCGGCCAUGCGCGCGGAGAUUGUCGAGAAGUGACGCCCCGGGCCGAGGCGUCUCGGAGUGACGUGGGCAUGUCUCGGAGCAGACGACCUUAGCGGCGCGGUGCCUCGGAGCAGACAAGGGGGGGGACCUUGGAGCGAGCUCGACGGUCGGUGCGGUUCGGCUUUGGAGCAGACAAGGGGGCCUUGGAGUGAGCUCGACGGCCGGUGCGGCUCAGCCGCAGCAUGGACGGCCUUGGGCUCGAAGGUGGUGCAGCUCGGCCUCGGUUGGAGAGGGAUGACGCGGCGGGUGAUGGAGCAGAUCGGCCGCGGGUGGCGCUUCAAGCAGAUCGGCCGCGGGUGGCUUCGAGUCGAAGACGGCAGCGGUGGCGGCUUUAGGCAGAUCGGCCGCGGGUGGCGCGGCUUCGGGUCGAAGACGGCAGCGGUGGCGGGGACACGGCGGAAGGGCUCGGCCGACUCCAUGAUGAGCUCGGUGGAGCUCGGUGGGGUGCUCGCGGAGCUUCGGCGGAAGCGCGAGGAGCGCGUCGCGGCUCGAUCGGCAGAGAAGUCGGUGGAGCGCCUCGGCGCGGAGAGCUCAAGGAACUCGAGCGCACGGAGACAUCGAGGAGGCGGCGAGGGCAAUGUCGUCGAGGGCAGGGGCUCGGCGGAGGAAGCAUCGGUGAGUGCUUGAGAGAGAGAGAGAGAGAGAGAGAGAAAGAAAAGAGAUCUCAGAGAUCUGAGAUCUCUUUUUUUUUCUUUUCCUUCUUUCUUCUUUUUUUUUUUUUUUAGCCGAGAGAGAGAGCUUUGUUUUCUUCUUUCUUUUUUCUUCUUUUUUUUCUUUUUUUUUUUUGAACGGGAGAAAGAGAUAAUAUAUUUUUUUUACCUUUUCUUUUUUUUUUUUUUUUUGCGAUCGACAGAAUAGGGUAGAAAUUUUUUUUUAGAUUUCGCAGAUUCAAAAACUCUCUCUUGUUUGAUUUUUCGAGGGGUAUUUAUGGAGGUGGUUGUAACCAACCUGAGGGAGACGUGCGGAUGGAUCGUGGGAUGCGGGUGGUUGUAAACAAUUUGAGGGAAACGUGCGUAUGAAUCGUGGGAUGGUUAUGGGAUCGUGGGUAAUCGUGAUAGGAUUGUGGGAUGAUGGGUGGUGGGUAUAGGUUGUUACGAUAGUAUCGUGGGAUUGUGGGAGAGAUUUUGGAUGGUUGAGAUGAGAUUGUGGGGUAUUUUGGACGGUUGUGAUGAGAUUAUGAGAUAUUGGGUGGUUAGGAUGGGAUUGCGGGAAUAUUGCGGAUUAGUCCUUUCCCUUUGAUCAUAUUACAUCUUAAUAAAAAUAUUAUAUGAUUAAGGUGGGGCAUUUUGUAAAUAUAUAAAAGGGAAUAGACUAAUAUGCUAUUUUAUAUUCCCGUACGUAUUAUUUUUUUGCAAUCCGGUGCAUGGGAUAUUUUCAAAAUUUAAAUUUUAUCCAUGCACCUGGUGCAUAGAUGAUCUCAUAAACCAUCUCUAUUUAUUAUUUUCUCUCUCCCCUUUUUUCUUUUUCUUCUUUUAUUCCUCUCUCUUUUUUUAUGCUUCAACAAAUGCCCCCCACCUUUUCAAGCUUGUGAUUUAAACAAGGUGGAAAAAAGUGCCGAUCUCCUUUCACUAUUCCGACCUUCAUAUCGCCAUCCGGGGUUUGAUCAUCAAAGAUCCAAGGUAUUUAUAUAUUUCGUUUUUUUGAUCUCUUUUGAUGUUAUAUAUACAUAUUUGCAUUCAUAUUUGAGAUCUGUACGAGACAUAUUCAAACCUCUGAAUAGAUUUCGUAAUUUUUUCUAGAUCAUGGGAAAAACGAAUGAACCAUUAAUUCAUCCCGAUGAUAGAAAUUUAGGCGUAUUUAGAGGACUUUCUUUAAUGCGUUCGCCUCCGAUAUUUGGGCGUUCCGCUGAACCCGUCAUUCCUUAUGAGACGCCUAUGUUAAAAGAAUGGGCGAUAUUUAAGCAGAAGCAAUUAUUGGGUCGUUUCGGAGUUGAUUAUUAUGCUCCCGAUUGUGACGGCGACGUCAUAUUAUUGCCCCCUAUAGGACCUCCGAAAGAAAGAGACACGUUACAAUCUCUCGGCUAUAAAAUACUUAAUAAUCAUCCUGGAUGGUGUGGAAUGAGUAGGGUUUUAGGGGACAGCAUUGAGGUAGAGGGUUUAAUUGAAUGGGGAAAUCAUAUCAUCUCUCAUUACACCACAUAAUUACGUCGUGCUGGCAUUUUAGGGGGUAUCGUAGCUUCACGAGGGAGAUACAAUAAGAAUAUGAAUAUCAUCAAGGCAUUGGUAGAGCUGUGGUGUUCGGAGACAAAUACUUUUCAUCUUCCAUUUGGUGAAGUUGGGAUUUCUUUAUGGGAAAUUAGAGAACUCGGUGGGCUCCCGAUUAUCGGUGACAUGUACGACGAAUAUAUCCCUCCAAAUUCUGAACUUUAUAGUAAGAAUAAUUAUCCCAGUUGUGUUAGGGAGCUUUUUGAUGUUUAUCAAUGGCUCAUGGCUCGAUCUUCUAACAAGCGUGUGCGGUAUGAUUUAUGGGUAGAUUUCUUUUACACAAGCUGUAAAAAGUUGACUAAGUCUAAGUCUCGGAGUAUAAGCAAUAGAGAGCUCGCUCCCUCAUAUACGGAAGAUACGACUCGAGCGGCCUUCAUUUCUUUAUGGUUAUGCAACUUCGUAAUGCCUUCUGGAUUAGACCAUUUCAUCAGGCCAGAGACGUUUAUUAUGGCUUCUAAGCUGGCAUUAGGUGAGAAAGUUGCUUUAGCCCCUGCCAUUCUUUGUGCGAUCCAUGCUGGUUUAUCAUUUAUGAGUGAUCACCCUGAAGGACCUGCGCAUCCUGGACCUCAAUUUCCCGUUAAUUUUCUAUAUGCGUGGAUCGGUCUUCACUUUGAACAGACUUAUUCUAGAAAGGUGAUUAGUGAGAAUAUCAAGAAUAUCGUCGGCUUACGAAGUCCUCCUCAAAUGAUAUUUUUUAUGGACGCGGCGGCUUCUCCUUUUAAUGCUAAGCGAGCACGGAUUUACCUCAGGUCGAGUGCUCAUUUUGUUUGGCGUCCUCUACCAUAUUCUUAUUCUUUUGUUGAUGACGGUUGGCUUUACGAUGCGAAAUUGGCUCCAGGAGAGUGUAAAUAUCCGAGAGAGGUUUAUGAGUAUAUAAUUUCUAUCAGACAGAGCGUGCUUCCACUUCGUUUGGGGAAUAAAUUACACACCCAGCCAUAUAAUCCUCAUCGUUUUGCUCGACAAUUUGGCUUUGAUCAGUCUUUUCCUGAAAGUAUCACUGUUCCCCGAUUAGCGAGCCAUCUUGGGAUACUUGCUGGAUGUUGGAAUCAUUUCAUUCGCUAUGGGACUUCUAUUAAUUAUUUCAUACCGAAGAAGGACCGGAUUGGGAAACCAACUUUGCAUUAUGCGCGCUGGUGGUCUAAUAGUGUGCAUUCGAGCUUCAAACACGGAGUAGGCUAUCUACUGAGUGCAGAUGAUCCCCGCAAGCAGCAGAACAAGAAGAGUAUUGUUUUAAAGGAAAGUUCAGCUUCUGCAAGGAAAUUGGGUUCUUCGGGUAUUAUCGCUGAAAGAGCACUAGAUUCUCUGGGGCCAGAGGCGGAGCAGCUCGACUUAUUUCCAGAGUAUGAUCAUGUUCAAGUUGGUCCUUCCGAUGACUCUCCUAGAUAUGAAGUUCUUGGUCUCAGUUUCCCCAUUCAUGAAGACAAGACAUCAGAGGUAUGUUCAUUAACAUUUUCAAUUAUCUCUUUUUUUUUCUUUUGCGUUCUGACCUUCUUCUUUUUUUUCUGUAUACAGGAAGUGUUUGUUACAGGUUCGCCUGCCGGGGAUAAAAUACACUUGCAAGACCCUUCAGUGAAGUCACAGGUAUGACGUAGAAUCCAUAUAAUUUAAAUUUUGUUGAUUCCUUCUGACAUCCUUUCUUUCAUGUAGGCAUGCGAUAUGGAACCGUCAAGGAGCUCAGAAAAUCUACCCUUGGAUGUUCCAACUAAAGUGGCUCGUGGAAAAGUUCCCAUUACGGUGUCUUCAAUGAUAGGUAAUUUUUUAUAUUCAUAUUCUGUUAGUAAUUAAUUUUACAUGAUGUCGCCGCACUUGUUCUUUGCUUUUUUAAUUCACAGAAUCACAAGCUGGCGGGAGUGGAUCCAUUGAGGAUGACGUGCCUUCAGAUGAUGAGUUGGUUCUGACGCCUUCGCCACCACAGGUAUUUUAUUUUCUAGUUGAAUCCAUGUCCCUUCUUUUGGUUUCAAAUUAAGAAUUUGAUUCUCAACUAAAGAAGGAGGUAAAAUAUGGAUAAUAAUGUGUAAUUUUUUGUCAGGAAUCCGUAGCAACAAAAAUUUCGCAAAUCGGAGUUAAAACGAAAAUGUUAUGGCCCGUUUACACUUUGGUCCCUGUAUUUACGAAACAGUCCCUGCGGGCAGUUUCAUUUCAGUUCCUGCAGUUUUAUUUUAGUCCCUGCAGCUUCAUUUCCCUUACUUUUUGAUGCAGAAAAUUACCUUCAAGGAAUUUUAUGGCUAUAACGAUGCACAUUUUGGGAUUAAAAUAUUAUAACCCCUUUCAUAAUAUAUUCGUUAUUCCUUGUUUUUACAAAAUGGUCCUUGUAGCAUAUAUCGAUAUGUGAUUCUUUUUGUCACAGGAUCCGCUCACCGCUGCUGCUGAUAUUGGAGCGUCAUCUUUCAAGGAGGCUUGCUUGACUCAUCAUGAAGUAUAUUUGUAUUUAUUAUCCCAACUUUCAUUUUAUAUCGCUCAUGUUUACACCGCAAUUUUAUUGUGUAGGAUGAGGGUGCUGAAGAAGAUGACGAUAUAGUAGAAGAUGGCAAAAAUGAAGUCUUGCCAGGAUCGUCUUUACUUGGUAAAAGAGAACGAGUCGAUGAUAUUCCGGCUACAGAGGUGCAUAAAAGAGCUCGUUUGGAGGCUGAUUCAAAAUCAACCGGUAAAAUCCUCCCCUCUUUUUUUUAAAAGACAGUAUCUUUUACAUAUUUAUUAUUUCUUUUUAUAUGCAGACCUUCCGGUAGAGUCAAAAUUGGAUUAUGAUCUGAUAGACGCUUUAUCACCUUAUGGCGACGAAGUGGACUACGAGCCUACACCUUCACCACCUGAAGCUCCUGAUAUGGUAAGAUUUAAAUAUUUUCUUCUUUCUUUUUUUUCUUUUUUUUUUUUUUAAUUCUUUUCUUUCUCUUUUUAUAGGGCGUACCACUUGACGAGGACGUCGGCAUUAACGUGAGUAGCGGUACAGGAGGUUUCCAGAGUGAGGUGCCUAUUGCGGUCAGAUCAUUUUUGAUUGACCGCAUAACGGAUAUCAUGAAGACAUUCGACCGUCGACGAUUCAGAUCAGCUCGAGAGGAAGUGUCCAAGUAUUGUCAGUGCAUUUCCUCACUUGGAAUUGAUGUAUCUGAAUUGGAUGGGCGUAUAAAAUCCGUGUUUGAUCAUGCCGAGGUCAUUGAAGAAUUAGAGUCAAGUCCGAGUUUCGCUUCAGCUGUUCGGCUCGUGAAUGCUGAUGAGGAUCUGGCGCUAAAGAAAAGGAAGCUUGCUUCUCAUAUCAGCACAAAAAGUUCUAUUCUCAAAGCUUCAGAAGGUGUCUCUUUGGAGCUUCAGCAGACUAGAGAGAAAAUAAGAGAGCUUGAGGAGCACAUUUUGCAGUUAAAGAGUACAGAAGCAGAGUUGUCAUUUAAACUCGAAGUGGCCAACGACUCUUUAAAGAAAUUAACGCCGACUGAAGAAGAACUGCAGAAGGACGUUGCUGAUGCGGAGAGGGAAUAUGCUGCAGCCACUGAAGAUUGUAAAGCUUCCAAAGAAUCCGCCGGUCUCCGAGGAUUGAUAGAGCUAUUUGAGGAGCGUCGUCAGAUAUUUGAGAUUUGAUUUUCCUUUACUUUUCUCUUUUUGGAUGUUUAUCGUGGAUGUUAUCUUUAUUUGUCACUAGUAUGAGACAGUAUUUGAUAAUUUGAAUGACUUUGAUUGUGCUUGAAUGUUUGAUCUCUUCCUCCUGUCUUUAUCUCAUACUGCAUUGUGACGAUGAUUGUCUUGCGAGGAUGGUUUGUUUCUUUUGCCUUGAUUCUCACGUACAAUCAACUCUAAAUUGAGUCAUCACUCUGUUGUCUGGACAAAUAUGCUAUCUUCUCAGCGCUCUUGUAGCGAUAACAUGUACACUGCCCC
Molecule: long non-coding RNA, 9151 nt
Filed under: Ananas comosus (pineapple)
Lineage: Eukaryota; Viridiplantae; Streptophyta; Magnoliopsida; Poales; Bromeliaceae
Description: long non-coding RNA (ACOM_LNC041902)
Source: RNAcentral